RNAcentral lists this ribosomal RNA (489 nucleotides) under uncultured bacterium. RNAcentral describes it as "partial 16S ribosomal RNA". It matches the Rfam family "Bacterial small subunit ribosomal RNA", at positions 28 to 507 of the family's 1533-position model. The record is from RNAcentral.
GAUGAACGCUAGCUACAGGCUUAACACAUGCAAGUCGAGGGGCAGCAUGAACUUAGCUUGCUAAGUUUGAUGGCGACCGGCGCACGGGUGAGUAACACGUAUCCAACCUGCCGAUGACUCGGGGAUAGCCUUUCGAAAGAAAGAUUAAUACCCGAUGGCAUAGUUCUUCCGCAUGGUAGAACUAUUAAAGAAUUUCGGUCAUCGAUGGGGAUGCGUUCCAUUAGGUUGUUGGCGGGGUAACGGCCCACCAAGCCUUCGAUGGAUAGGGGUUCUGAGAGGAAGGUCCCCCACAUUGGAACUGAGACACGGUCCAAACUCGUACGGGAGGCAGCAGUGAGGAAUAUUGGUCAAGGGACGAGAGUCUGAACCAGCCAAGUAGCGUGAAGGAGGACUGCCCUAUGGGUUGUAAACUUCUUUUAUACGGGAAUAAAGUGAGGCACGGGUGCCUUUUUGUAUGUACCGUAUGAAUAAGGAUCGGCUAACUCCGUG